GAAAUGCGAUACGUCAUGCGAAUUGCAAAACCAGUGAGUCAUCAAAACUUUGAACGCAACUUGCACUUCCCUUUGGGGAGUAUGUCUGUUGGAGUGCUUGUUCAUCCCCACCAUAACCCCCAUUCCCUAACAAGGCGACUGCGGUGUGUUGUGAAGUCAGUCUCUUGGAUGCCUUAACCCGGCGACCAAGUGCACUCAGAUGAAACAAAAAUCAAAUAUCCGAUCCCAAAGUCAGUAUCCCCACCCGGGGAUAUAAGACCGAAAGGACGCGACGUCAUAGUGUAAAAACUAACAACUCGUGUCUGGAGUAAGUCCUAAUGUGCGAGUAAGUUCUGGAUCUUUUCGAUCGAGCCUCCAAUCAGUCAAGAAUACCCGCUGAAUUUAA
Molecule: unclassified non-coding RNA, 385 nt
Filed under: uncultured fungus
Lineage: Eukaryota; Fungi
Description: sequence contains ITS1
Rfam family: 5.8S ribosomal RNA (bases 1-99)
Source: RNAcentral